This 168-nucleotide ribosomal RNA is filed under the name uncultured bacterium. RNAcentral's name for it is "partial 16S ribosomal RNA". It matches the Rfam family "Bacterial small subunit ribosomal RNA", at positions 339 to 524 of the family's 1533-position model. The record is from RNAcentral.
CUACGGGAGGCAGCAGUGGGGAAUAUUGGACAAUGGGGGCAACCCUGAUCCAGCCAUGCCGCGUGGGUGAAGAAGGCCUUAGGGUUGUAAAACCCUUUCAGCGGGGAAGAUGAUGACGGUACCCGCAGAAGAAGCCCCGGCUAACUCCGUGCCAGCAGCCGCGGUAAU